Molecule: small nuclear RNA, 120 nt
Organism: Sarcophilus harrisii (Tasmanian devil)
Lineage: Eukaryota; Metazoa; Chordata; Mammalia; Dasyuromorphia; Dasyuridae
Source: Ensembl
AUGUUAUGUGAAACAAGAAGAGGUUAGUAGUCUCUCUGAAAAGAAUGGAAGAGGUUGCCUUUAUAUUACAUAUAUGGCGAAGGCAUUGCCAACCAUUCUGUCAUCUAAUUAUUUUUAUUU